CCCCCAAAAACGAAAGUGUGACGGGAGUUACCCAAAGUGUUCACCUUUGAACUGUGGUAGGUGAGUAAUUUCCCCUUCUAGAAAGGAGAGGGCAAGGCUGGUGCCAGCCGCCGCGGUAAAACCAGCUCUUCAAGUGGUCGGGAUAAUUAUUGGGCUUAAAGUGUCCGUAGCCGGUUUAGUAAGUUCCUGGUAAAAUCGGGUAGCUUAACUAUCUGCAUGCUAGGAAUACUGCUAUACUAGAGGGCGGGAGAGGUCUGAGGUACUACAGGGGUAGGGGUGAAAUCUUAUAAUCCUUGUAGGACCACCAGUGGCGAAGGCGUCAGACUGGAACGCGCCUGACGGUGAGGGACGAAAGCCAGGGGAGCGAACCGGAUUAGAUACCCGGGUAGUCCUGGCCGUAAACGAUGCAUACUAGGUGAUGGUACGGCCGUGAGCCGUGUCAGUGCCGUAGGGAAACCGUUAAGUGUGCCGCCUGGGAAGUACGGUCGCAAGGCUAAAACUUAAAGGAAUUGGCGGGGGA
This 520-nucleotide ribosomal RNA is filed under the name uncultured archaeon. RNAcentral's name for it is "bacterial SSU rRNA". It matches the Rfam family "Archaeal small subunit ribosomal RNA", at positions 350 to 875 of the family's 1478-position model. The record is from RNAcentral.